This 469-nucleotide long non-coding RNA is filed under the name Capsella rubella. RNAcentral's name for it is "long non-coding RNA (CRUB_LNC002425)". Lineage: Eukaryota; Viridiplantae; Streptophyta; Magnoliopsida; Brassicales; Brassicaceae. The record is from RNAcentral.
UUAAAUCACCCCGACAAACCGGGUAUUUUGGCUAAUUAAUUACCUUUUGGUUGCCAAAUUUUUUUUUUCUUUUUUUUUUGCUUUUGCCAAAAUAAAAUAAAUAAAUAUUGACCUCUUAUUUUAGCAGUGAGUGUUGUGUGGUGGCUCCAACCAAAAGCUGGAAAACGACAAAAGCUGAUGACUGUCCAUACUUAUCUGAUUUUUUAUUUUUUUUUGUUUUGGUGUUAUCAAACCAAUGCAGCCUCGCUUACGUGUCCAAUAUCAUUUGUACGUUACUCUCCCGGUGUUAACAUCUGGCAUUCGACUAACUAAGCAGGCCCAUUGGGCUGUAUUUGGCUGUGUUGUUGUCGCCUUGUUUGUUUAUAUCAUUAUUUCCUUCUUUAUUUGCCAACUCAAAUCUUAUCUGUUUCGUUUUGUAACACUAUUGAUUCGAAAUAGUUUGUUUCGUUUUGUAAAAUUUUUUGUCUUC